RNAcentral lists this ribosomal RNA (274 nucleotides) under uncultured bacterium. RNAcentral describes it as "partial 16S ribosomal RNA". It matches the Rfam family "Bacterial small subunit ribosomal RNA", at positions 523 to 796 of the family's 1533-position model. The record is from RNAcentral.
AUACGGAGGGUGCGAGCGUUAUCCGGAUUUAUUAGGUUUAAAGGGUGUGUAGGCGGGAGCCUAAGUCAGUGGUGAAAUCUCACAGCUUAACUGUGAAACUGCCAUUGAAACUGGGUUUCUUGAGUAUAGUUGAGGUAGGCGGAAUGUGUAAUGUAGCGGUGAAAUGCAUAGAUAUUACACAGAACACCGAUUGCGAAGGCAGCUUACUAAGCUAUUACUGACGCUGAUGCACGAAAGCGUGGGUAGCGAACAGGAUUAGAUACCCGGGUAGUCC